GAUGAAGAACGUAGCGAAAUGCGAUAAGUAAUGUGAAUUGCAGAAUUCAGUGAAUCAUCGAAUCUUUGAACGCACAUUGCGCCCGCCAGUAUUCUGGCGGGCAUGCCUGUUCGAGCGUCAUUUCAACCAUCAAGCCCCCCGGCUUGUGUUGGGGACCUGCGGCUGCCGCAGGCCCUGAAAAGCAGUGGCGGGCUCGCUGUCACACCGAGCGUAGUAGAUCUCAUCUCGCUCAGGGCGUGCUGCGGGUUCCGGCCGUUAAACCACAUUCAUAACCCAAGGUUGACCUCGGAUCAGGUAGGAAGACCCGCUGAACUUAAGCAUAUCAAUAAGCGGAGGA
Molecule: unclassified non-coding RNA, 337 nt
Filed under: soil metagenome
Description: partial contains 5.8S ribosomal RNA, internal transcribed spacer 2, and large subunit ribosomal RNA
Rfam family: 5.8S ribosomal RNA (bases 1-120)
Source: RNAcentral